UGGGGAAUUUUCCGCAAUGGGCGAAAGCCUGACGGAGCAAUACCGCGUGAGGGAGGAAGGCCUUUGGGUUGUAAACCUCUUUUCUUAGGGAAGAACAAUGACGGUACCUAAGGAAUAAGCAUCGGCUAACUCCGUGCCAGCAGCCGCGGUAAUACGGAGGAUGCAAGCGUUAUCCGGAAUUAUUGGGCGUAAAGCGUCCGCAGGUGGUGGUUCAAGUCUGCGGUCAAAGACCGGAGCUUAACUCCGGAGGUGCCGUGGAAACUGAACUACUAGAGACCGGUAGGGGUAGAGGGAAUUCCCAGUGUAGCGGUGAAAUGCGUAGAGAUUGGGAAGAACACCAGUGGCGAAAGCGCUCUACUGGGCCGGUACUGACACUCAGGGACGAAAGCUAGGGGAGCGAAAGGGAUUAGAUACCCCCGUAGUCC
RNAcentral lists this ribosomal RNA (425 nucleotides) under uncultured prokaryote. Its description in RNAcentral is "bacterial SSU rRNA". It matches the Rfam family "Bacterial small subunit ribosomal RNA", at positions 355 to 796 of the family's 1533-position model. The record is from RNAcentral.